GACGAACGCUGGCGGCGUGCCUAAUACAUGCAAGUCGAGCGCAGGAAGUCAUCCGAACCCUUCGGGGGGACGUUGACGGAAUGAGCGGCGGACGGGUGAGUAACACGUAAAGAACCUGCCCUCAGGUCUGGGAUAACCACGAGAAAUCGGGGCUAAUACCGGAUGGGUCAUCGGACCGCAUGGUCCGAGGAUGAAAGGCGCUCCGGCGUCGCCUGGGGAUGGCUUUGCGGUGCAUUAGCUAGUUGGUGGGGUAAUGGCCCACCAAGGCGACGACGCAUAGCCGACCUGAGAGGGUGAUCGGCCACACUGGGACUGAGACACGGCCCAGACUCCUACGGGAGGCAGCAGUAGGGAAUCUUCCACAAUGGACGAAAGUCUGAUGGAGCAACGCCGCGUGAACGAUGAAGGCCCUCGGGUCGGAAAGUUCUGUUGUAAGGGAAGAACAAGUGCCGCAGGCAAUGGCGGCACCUUGACGGUACCUUGCGAGAAAGCCACGGCUAACUACG
RNAcentral lists this ribosomal RNA (506 nucleotides) under uncultured bacterium. RNAcentral's name for it is "partial 16S ribosomal RNA". It matches the Rfam family "Bacterial small subunit ribosomal RNA", at positions 28 to 505 of the family's 1533-position model. The record is from RNAcentral.